UAUGAAACCAUGAUCGUGUGGGUUUAUUUAUUUUUUGUGGUUAUGGCAGCAUUUGGUUAGCAUUACAACUUUUAAAUAUUGAUUAUGAUGAACUAUGCAUGUGCAUAAUGAAACACCUGUUCUUGUCGCAGGUCCUGGCAUAUACAGGUAGAUACAACAAUAAAAUGCUCACUACUGUUUCACCAUGCGAGAAUGCAUGAGAAAAGUCAGGAAUCGAUCAAAAGAAUCAAAAUGCGUGCAUCGUAACGAAUCCCCGGUUCUUUAAAGUUUUAAUCGGUUCUAAAAUGAAACUGAUUCUUCAUACCCAACCCUAGACUCUGUCUUUGUUCACCAGUGGUCCCUUUUUUCCCUGUGACGGAGCAUGUUGUCAUUUUUUCUAAGGUGGAAAUGGAGUCCAUCACAGUUCUGAGUAACAUAAGUGUAUGGAAUUGAAACGACAUAAGGGUUGAUGAUGACAAGGUGAUGACACAAAGGAGCUUCCAUUGCCUUUAUUGCAACUAGGACUGACAAUAAUGUCUGCAAACCCUUCUCCAAAUAUUAAGUCUUAUUCUAUUACAACAUUGCCACCUGCCAGC
Molecule: long non-coding RNA, 575 nt
Organism: Paramisgurnus dabryanus
Lineage: Eukaryota; Metazoa; Chordata; Actinopteri; Cypriniformes; Cobitidae
Source: RefSeq, a predicted model, not a curated record